Molecule: long non-coding RNA, 424 nt
Organism: Pogoniulus pusillus (Red-fronted tinkerbird)
Lineage: Eukaryota; Metazoa; Chordata; Aves; Piciformes; Lybiidae
Exons: 3
Source: RefSeq, a predicted model, not a curated record
UCUAACAGCUUCAAGUGAGUUCAACCAGAAUUUCAUUUUGCUGAACUGGCCUGAUUUGGGAUGCAAACUGACCUCUGAAAGACAGAAAUUUCCUGCAGGAGCAGAAGUUUUCUGAGUUCAGCUCAUUUCCAGCUAGCCCUCACACAGGAGUGUCCUACAGCAAACAAGCAAACAGCCACUCUCACGGUGCAGACAAGAGAGCCACACGGUGAAAUGCAUGCUCUGGAAUUCUGUUGGAGAAGGAAGGAAGCUUGGUUUGAAGACCUGAAGCCAGCCACCCCGAGGGAAUGAGAGAGCACUUUAUGAAGUUGUUAAUGAAGUGAUGGUAAAUAUAAAGCCUUGGUGGAAAGCUGUGGUGCAGGAACAGAUUGCCUGAUUUUCUUCGAGCGAUGGGGAGGUUGUGUGUCAUUAAUAAAACAUCUUC